GGAUGAAAAACAAACCCCAAACUUUUUAGAGACUUACCACUGGUAGGAAAGACCAGAAGAGCAGCUUCUGACCCCUGGGGACCCUCAGUUGUGCCUCUCACAAAGCCAAGGUGUGAAACACCAUGAAAUAGGAGGAAAUUAAAAGCAUUCCUGAUAUUAUCAACACAGGGAGUAUAUUUAGCAUACAAACCCCUUCGGAGGCCGCGGUGACAACAUCCAAGUGUCCAGUCAUCAGAGCACAGGGGAGGUGCUGCCUCUGCCUGAGGAGCAUCACCACCCUGCAGAUGAAAUCAGGCAGGUGCAGCCUCAGAGGAGCCCUCACACCCUGUCAGCCCUCAGAAAUGAUGCUGAUUCAAUUUUAAAUUCAAGUGACACCAGGUUGACACAAAG
Molecule: long non-coding RNA, 390 nt
Organism: Chiroxiphia lanceolata (lance-tailed manakin)
Lineage: Eukaryota; Metazoa; Chordata; Aves; Passeriformes; Pipridae
Exons: 3
Source: RefSeq, a predicted model, not a curated record